GCCGUAGAAGCCUUGUGGGUGAGGCGUCAGGUUUCCACCCUGGAGAACCGGGUUCGACUCCCGGCUACGGCU
This 72-nucleotide transfer RNA is filed under the name Actinomadura viridilutea. RNAcentral's name for it is "tRNA-Gly". It matches the Rfam family "tRNA". Rfam says of the family: Transfer RNA (tRNA) molecules are approximately 80 nucleotides in length. Their secondary structure includes four short double-helical elements and three loops (D, anti-codon, and T loops). Further hydrogen bonds mediate the characteristic L-shaped molecular structure. tRNAs have two regions of fundamental functional importance: the anti-codon, which is responsible for specific mRNA codon recognition, and the 3' end, to which the tRNAs corresponding amino acid is attached (by aminoacyl-tRNA synthetases). tRNAs cope with the degeneracy of the genetic code in two manners: having more than one tRNA (with a specific anti-codon) for a particular amino acid; and 'wobble' base-pairing, i.e. permitting non-standard base-pairing at the 3rd anti-codon position. The record is from RNAcentral. Lineage: Bacteria; Bacillati; Actinomycetota; Actinomycetes; Streptosporangiales; Thermomonosporaceae.